AACGAACGCUGGCGGCAUGCCUAACACAUGCCAGUCGAACGAGAUCUUCGGGUCUAGUGGCGCACGGGUGCGUAACGCGUGGGAAUCUGCCCUCAGGUUCGGAAUAACCAUUGGAAACGAUGGCUAAUACCGGAUGAUGACGUUAAGUCCAAAGAUUUAUCGCCUGAGGAUGAGCCCGCGUAGGAUUAGCUAGUUGGUGUGGUAAAGGCGCACCAAGGCGACGAUCCUUAGCUGGUCUGGGAGGAUGAUCAGCCACACUGGGACUGAGACACGGCCCAGACUCCUACGGGAGGCAGCAGUGGGGAAUAUUGGACAAUGGGCGAAAGCCUGAUCCAGCAAUGCCGCGUGAGUGAUGAAGGCCUUAGGGUUGUAAAGCUCUUUUACCCGGGAUGAUAAUGACAGUACCGGGAGAAUAAGCUCCGGCUAACUCCGUG
Molecule: ribosomal RNA, 434 nt
Filed under: uncultured bacterium
Lineage: Bacteria
Description: partial 16S ribosomal RNA
Rfam family: Bacterial small subunit ribosomal RNA
Source: RNAcentral